GCUGAUGGCGACCGGCGCACGGGUGAGUAACACGUAUCCAACCUGCCGUCUACUCUUGGCCAGCCUUCUGAAAGGAAGAUUAAUCCAGGAUGGGAUCAUGAGUUCACAUGUCCGCAUGAUUAAAGGUAUUUUCCGGUAGACGAUGGGGAUGCGUUCCAUUAGAUAGUAGGCGGGGUAACGGCCCACCUAGUCAACGAUGGAUAGGGGUUCUGAGAGGAAGGUCCCCCACAUUGGAACUGAGACACGGCCCAAACUCCUACGGGAGGCAGCAGUGAGGAAUAUUGGUCAAUGGGCGAUAGCCUGAACCAGCCAAGUAGCGUGAAGGAUGACUGCCCUAUGGGUUGUAAACUUCUUUUAUAAAGGAAUAAAGUCGGGUAUGCAUACCCGUUUGCAUGUACUUUAUGAAUAAGGAUCGGCUAACUCCGUGCCAGCAGCCGCGGUAAUACGGAGGAUCCGAGCGUUAUCCGGAUUUAUUGGGUUUAAAGGGAGCGUAGAUGGAUGUUUAAGUCAGUUGUGAAAGUUUGCGGCUCAACCGUAAAAUUGCAGUUGAUACUGGAUGUCUUGAGUGCAGUUGAGGCAGGCGGAAUUCGUGGUGUAGCGGUGAAAUGCUUAGAUAUCACGAAGAACUC
RNAcentral lists this ribosomal RNA (629 nucleotides) under uncultured Bacteroidales bacterium. Its description in RNAcentral is "bacterial SSU rRNA". It matches the Rfam family "Bacterial small subunit ribosomal RNA", at positions 84 to 709 of the family's 1533-position model. Lineage: Bacteria; Pseudomonadati; Bacteroidota; Bacteroidia; Bacteroidales. The record is from RNAcentral.